GAUGAACGCUGGCGGCGUGCCUAAUACAUGCAAGUCGAGCGAACAGACGAGGAGCUUGCUCCUUCGACGUUAGCGGCGGACGGGUGAGUAACACGUAGGUAACCUACCUAUAAGACUGGGAUAACUUCGGGAAACCGGAGCUAAUACCGGAUAAUAUUUCGAACCGCAUGGUUCGAUAGUGAAAGAUGGCUUUGCUAUCACUUAUAGAUGGACCUGCGCCGUAUUAGCUAGUUGGUAAGGUAACGGCUUACCAAGGCAACGAUACGUAGCCGACCUGAGAGGGUGAUCGGCCACACGGGAGCUGAGACACGGUCCAGACUCCUACGGGAGGCAGCAGUAGGGAAUCUGCCGCAAAGGGCGAAAGCCUGACGGAGCAACGCCGCGUGAGUGAUGAAGGUCUUCGGAUCGUAAAACUCUGUUAUUAGGGAAGAACAAACGUGUAAGUAACUGUGCACGUCUUGACGGUACCUAAUCAGAAAGCCACGGCUAACUACGUG
This 497-nucleotide ribosomal RNA is filed under the name uncultured bacterium. RNAcentral describes it as "partial 16S ribosomal RNA". It matches the Rfam family "Bacterial small subunit ribosomal RNA", at positions 28 to 507 of the family's 1533-position model. The record is from RNAcentral.